GAGCUACAAUAAUGGAAAGAAUAUGAAUUAAUAUUAUUUUAGCGAGUGCAAAACCUGGCAGCUGUGUGAUUUCCACCCACGAGGGCAACUCGAGUACUUCGCAUUUUUGUCCACAAUAACAACAAAUCCUUUAACCUUUGAAUUUCCAUUUGUCAAUGAUAAUACUCUCCUUCCUUCUAUAUUUUCCAGAUCGAUGACUUCUAUUUGGAAUAUUAACAAUACUCC
Molecule: long non-coding RNA, 225 nt
Filed under: Nicotiana benthamiana
Lineage: Eukaryota; Viridiplantae; Streptophyta; Magnoliopsida; Solanales; Solanaceae
Description: long non-coding RNA (NBEN_LNC017200)
Source: RNAcentral